Long non-coding RNA from Homo sapiens (human), 496 nucleotides. RefSeq lists it as uncharacterized. The transcript is spliced from 3 exons. NCBI's taxonomy places the organism in Eukaryota, Metazoa, Chordata, Mammalia, Primates, Hominidae. The record is from RefSeq and is a predicted model, not a curated record.
UAUCAAGGUGCCAGCAUCUGGUGAGGGCCUCCAUGCUGUGUCAUCCCAUGGCCAAAGGUGGAAGGGCAAGAGGGCACAAGACAGCAAGGGGUUCUCUAAACCCUCCUUCCAGAGUGCCAGCCACAAGCUGCCCGCCACAUGGGGAAGAGAGGGAAAGCGGAGAGAAAAGAGGCUCUGCUUGUGCCAGCCCAGGUGCCUGUAGACCGCUUCUUGGUGGCAGGGAGCCACUGCUGUGUCACAGUGGAAGUGACAGCAGUGACAGGGACCUAGUCUGAUCCACUGGGAUGCAGAUGGAUGGUAGCAUGCUGCAUUAGAAGAGGACACAGAUGCCCCUGCAACUGGAGUCUCCCCAGUGGCUGCUGUCAGCCGGCACGCCCAGCCCCAUCUGGCUCGAGAACUGUCAAAGAUCUCCUACAUCGCACGCCAGCUGAACACGGCCUGCAGACUGAACGUACUGUCCCACACACUUGCACUGCCAUUUUUCAGAUGUCUAAAG